AUGAACCAAGAAAUCCUAACUGACAGACAACCAUCACAGAGUGAGGAACAAGGACAACAUCCACAGCCGCAUGGGGCCUUCACGCAAGAGCACGCACCACAUGACCAGCUGCUGCAGCAAGGCGGCGGCCGGACCCCGGCGUCGUCCGGCCACCUGCGGCGCAAGAUCACGCUGAUUCCGCUCGUCUUCCUCAUCUACUUCGAGGUGGCAGGCGGCCCGUACGGCUCCGAGAAGGCGGUCCGCGCGGCGGGGCCGCUGUUCACGCUGCUCGGCUUCCUCGUCUUCCCCUUCGCGUGGGGCGUCCCGGAGUCGCUAGUCACCGCAGAGCUCGCCGCCGCGUUCCCGGGCAACGGCGGCUUCGUCCGGUGGGCCGACCACGCCUUCGGCCCGCUCGCGGGCUCCCUCAUCGGCACGUGGAAGUACCUCAGCAUCGUCAUCAACAUCGCCGCCUACCCGGCCCUCGUCGCCGACUACCUUGGCGGCGUGGCCCCCGCGGUCGCGGAGCCCGGUAGGACGCGCACGGGCACGGUGAUCGGCAUGACGCUGUUCCUCUCGUUCGUGAACUACGCUGGCCUGAGCAUUGUCGGCUGGGGCACGGUGGCGCUGGGGAUAGUGUCGCUGGCCCCGUUCGUGCUGAUGACGGCGAUGGCGGUGCCCAAGGUGCGACCGCGUCGGUGGGCGUCGCAGGUGAAUGGGAGGAAGGACUGGAGACUAUUCUUCAACACGCUCUUCUGGAACCUCAACUACUGGGAUAGCGCGAGCACCAUGGCUGGCGAGGUGGAGCGGCCGGAGCGGACGUUCCCGCGGGCGCUGGCGGUGGCGGUUGUUCUGAUCGCUGUCAGUUACCUGCUGCCGCUUAUGGCCGCCACCGGCGCCACGGACGCACCGCCGAAUGCCUGGGUCAAUGGCUACUUGGCCGACGCCGCAGGCAUCAUCGGGGGCCAAUGGCUCAAGUAUUGGACCGGGGCCGGUGCGGUGAUCUCCUCCAUCGGCAUGUUCGAGGCCCAGAUGAGCAGUGGCUCGUUCCAGCUCCUCGGGAUGGCGGAACUCGGCCUCCUCCCGUCCGUCUUUGCCCGCCGCGCUGCCUAUACCGGGACCCCAUGGGUUGCCAUCGCCGCGUCGACCGCCGUCGCGAUCGCCGUCUCCUUCCUCGGCUUCGACGACGUCGUCGCCACCGCCAACUUCUUGUAUAGCUUGGGCACGCUGCUCGAGUUUGCCUCCUUCAUCUGGCUCCGUGUCAAGCACCCGGCGGUGAAGCGCCCCUACCGCGUGCCACUGCCGCUGCCUGCGCUCGUGGCCAUGUGCGCCGUGCCGUCGGCUUUUCUGGCCUAUGUGUGUGCGGUGGCCGGGUGGAGGGUGUUCGCUGUCGCGGCUGGGCUGACGGCGCUCGGUGUCGGUUGGCAUGGCAUCAUGAGGGAGUGCAGGGCUAGGAAGUUGCUCAGGUUCAACAACGCGGUUGCUGCUGUCCAUCAGGAGGAUGCUGAAGACACGGUGUGA
RNAcentral lists this ribosomal RNA (1497 nucleotides) under Triticum aestivum (bread wheat). RNAcentral's name for it is "partial small subunit ribosomal RNA". The record is from RNAcentral. Lineage: Eukaryota; Viridiplantae; Streptophyta; Magnoliopsida; Poales; Poaceae.